GACGAACGCUGGCGGCGUGCUUAACACAUGCAAGUCGAACGAAAAGAGGGAAAGAGCUUGCUCUUUCCGGAAUUGAGUGGCAAACGGGUGAGUAACACGUAAACAACCUGCCUUCAGGAUGGGGACAACAGACGGAAACGACUGCUAAUACCGAAUAAGUUCCAAGAGCCGCAUGGCCCAUGGAAGAAAAGGUGGCCUCUACCUGUAAGCUAUCGCCUGAAGAGGGGCUUGCGUCUGAUUAGCUGGCUGGCGGGGUAACGGCCCACCAAGGCGACGAUCAGUAGCCGGUCUGAGAGGAUGAACGGCCACACUGGAACUGAGACACGGUCCAGACUCCUACGGGAGGCAGCAGGGGGGAAUCUUCCGCAAUGGGCGAAAGCCUGACGGAGCAACGCCGCGUGAGUGAUGACGGCCUUCGGGUUGUAAAACUCUGUGAUCCGGGACGAAAAGGCAGAGUGCGAAGAACAAACUGCAUUGACGGUACCGGAAAAGCAAGCCACGGCUAACUACGUG
RNAcentral lists this ribosomal RNA (513 nucleotides) under uncultured bacterium. Its description in RNAcentral is "partial 16S ribosomal RNA". It matches the Rfam family "Bacterial small subunit ribosomal RNA", at positions 28 to 507 of the family's 1533-position model. The record is from RNAcentral.